RNAcentral lists this transfer RNA (73 nucleotides) under Enterococcus sp. RNAcentral's name for it is "tRNA-Lys". It matches the Rfam family "tRNA". Rfam says of the family: Transfer RNA (tRNA) molecules are approximately 80 nucleotides in length. Their secondary structure includes four short double-helical elements and three loops (D, anti-codon, and T loops). The record is from RNAcentral. Lineage: Bacteria; Bacillati; Bacillota; Bacilli; Lactobacillales; Enterococcaceae.
GCCUCUAUAGCUCAGUUGGUAGAGCACUUGACUCUUAAUCAAGGUGUCGCAGGUUCGAACCCUGCUGGGGGCA